Molecule: ribosomal RNA, 253 nt
Filed under: uncultured bacterium
Lineage: Bacteria
Description: partial 16S ribosomal RNA
Rfam family: Bacterial small subunit ribosomal RNA
Source: RNAcentral
UACGGGGGGGGCAAGCGUUGUUCGGAAUUACUGGGCGUAAAGGGCUCGUAGGCGGCCAACUAAGUCGGACGUGAAAUCCCUCGGCUCAACCGGGGAACUGCGUCCGAUACUGGAUGGCUCGAGUUCGGGAGAGGGAUGCGGAAUUCCAGGUGUAGCGGUGAAAUGCGUAGAUAUCAUUUGGAACGCCAACGGAGAAAUCAGGUAGCUGGGGGUGUGCUGACGCUGAGACACGAAAGCCAGGGGAGCGAACGGG